This 261-nucleotide ribosomal RNA is filed under the name uncultured archaeon. RNAcentral describes it as "partial 16S ribosomal RNA". It matches the Rfam family "Archaeal small subunit ribosomal RNA", at positions 748 to 1008 of the family's 1478-position model. The record is from RNAcentral.
AGGGUGUAAACGCUGCAGACUUGGUGUUGGAGGCCCUUUGGGGGCAUCCAGUGCCGGAGAGAAGUUGUUAAGUCUGCUACUUGGGGAGUACGUCCGCAAGGACGAAACUUAAAGGAAUUGGCGGGGGAGCACCGCAACGGGAGGAGCGUGCGGUUUAAUUGGAUUCAACACCGUAAAACUCACCAGGGAAGACUGUUACAUGAAGGCCGAGAUGAAGACUCUGCUAGAUUUUCAGAGAGGUGGUGCAUGGCGUCAGUGACU